RNAcentral lists this ribosomal RNA (180 nucleotides) under uncultured Glomeromycotina. RNAcentral describes it as "partial small subunit ribosomal RNA". The record is from RNAcentral. Lineage: Eukaryota; Fungi; Glomeromycota.
GGCCUGGCUGUGCGGUCGGCCUAUUUGGUCAGUACUGCACGGUUGGGUCUUUCCUUCUGGAGAGCCAGCAUGCCCUUUACUGGGUGUGUUGGGGAUCCAGGACUUUUACUUUGAAAAAAUUAGAGUGUUUAAAGCAAGCGUACGCUUGAAUACAUUAGCAUGGAAUAAUGAAAUAGGGCU